Molecule: ribosomal RNA, 386 nt
Filed under: uncultured bacterium
Lineage: Bacteria
Description: bacterial SSU rRNA
Rfam family: Bacterial small subunit ribosomal RNA
Source: RNAcentral
GACGAACGCUGGCGGCGUGCUUAACACUCGCAAGUCGAGCGAUGAAACUACUUCGGUAGUGAAUUAGCGGCGAACGGGUGAGGAACACGUGAGGAAUCUGCCUUCUACACUGGGAUAACUCCGGGAAACCGGGGCUAAUACCGGAUAUGAAACUUGGUGGCAUCACCGAGUUUGGAAAGUUUUUCGGUAGAAGAUGACCUCGCGGCCUAUCAGCUUGUUGGUGAGGUAAUGGCUCACCAAGGCGACGACGGGUAGCCGGCCUGAGAGGGCGACCGGCCACACUGGGACUGAGACACGGCCCAGACUCCUACGGGAGGCAGCAGUGGGGAAUAUUGGGCAAUGGAGGAAACUCUGACCCAGCGACGCCGCGUGCGGGGAUGAAGGCC